GAUGAACGCUGGCGGCGUGCCUAAUACAUGCAAGUCGAGCGAACAGACGAGGAGCUUGCUCCUCUGACGUUAGCGGCGGACGGGUGAGUACACGUGGGUAACCUACCUAUAAGACUGGGAUAACUUCGGGAAACCGGAGCUAAUACCGGGUAAUAUAUUGAACCGCAUGGGUCAAUAGUGAAAGACGGGUUUGCUGUCACUUAUAGAUGGAUCCGCGCCGCAUUAGCUAGUUGGUAAGGUAACGGCUUACCAAGGCAACGAUGCGUAGCCGACCUGAGAGGGUGAUCGGCCACACUGGAACUGAGACACGGUCCAGACUCCUACGGGAGGCAGCAGUAGGGAAUCUUCCGCAAUGGGCGAAAGCCUGACGGAGCAACGCCGCGUGAGUGAUGAAGGUCUUCGGAUCGUAAAACUCUGUUAUUAGGGAAGAACAAAUGUGUAAGUAACUAUGCACGUCUUGACGGUACCUAAUCAGAAAGCCACGGCUAACUACGUG
RNAcentral lists this ribosomal RNA (496 nucleotides) under uncultured bacterium. RNAcentral describes it as "partial 16S ribosomal RNA". It matches the Rfam family "Bacterial small subunit ribosomal RNA", at positions 28 to 507 of the family's 1533-position model. The record is from RNAcentral.